Molecule: unclassified non-coding RNA, 603 nt
Filed under: Pseudopithomyces chartarum
Lineage: Eukaryota; Fungi; Ascomycota; Dothideomycetes; Pleosporales; Didymosphaeriaceae
Description: sequence contains 18S rRNA gene, ITS1, 5.8S rRNA gene, ITS2, 28S rRNA gene
Rfam family: 5.8S ribosomal RNA (bases 247-400)
Source: RNAcentral
GUAACAAGGUUUCCGUAGGUGAACCUGCGGAAGGAUCAUUAACCUUUCAAAACAGGGUGCGUCGCGGCCCCCGAGGUGCGGAAACAAGCCUCGAGCGGUUUGGGGUCCUCCCCUUCACGCGCGCACGACUGCCAUCCUUACUUUACGAGCACCUUCUGUUCUCCCUCGGCGGGGCAACCUGCCGUUGGAACCGAAUAAACUCUUUUUGCAUCUAGCAUUACCUGUUCCGAAACAAACAAUCGUUACAACUUUCAACAAUGGAUCUCUUGGCUCUGGCAUCGAUGAAGAACGCAGCGAAAUGCGAUAAGUAGUGUGAAUUGCAGAAUUCAGUGAAUCAUCGAAUCUUUGAACGCACAUUGCGCCCCUCGGUAUUCCGUGGGGCAUGCCUGUUCGAGCGUCAUCUACACCCUCAAGCUCUGCUUGGUGUUGGGCGUCUGUCCCGCCUCCGCGCGUGGACUCGCCCCAAAUUCAUUGGCAGCGGUCCUUGCCUCCUCUCGCGCAGCACAUUGCGCUUCUUGAGGGGCUCCGGUUCGCGUCCAACAAGCACAUUUACCGUCUUUGACCUCGGAUCAGGUAGGGAUACCCGCUGAACUUAAGCAUAUC